This 85-nucleotide transfer RNA is filed under the name Felis catus (domestic cat). It matches the Rfam family "tRNA". Rfam says of the family: Transfer RNA (tRNA) molecules are approximately 80 nucleotides in length. Their secondary structure includes four short double-helical elements and three loops (D, anti-codon, and T loops). The record is from Rfam by way of RNAcentral. Lineage: Eukaryota; Metazoa; Chordata; Mammalia; Carnivora; Felidae.
GCCUGAGUGGCUUAGUCGGUUAAGUGUCCGACUUUGGCUCAGAUCAUGAACUCAUGGUUCAUGGGUUCGAGCCCUGUGUCGGGCU